UACGUAGGCAGCAAGCGUUGUUCGGAAUUACUGGGCGUAAAGAGUGUGUAGGUGGUGUUCUAAGUCUGUCGUGAAAUCUCCCGGCUUAACUGGGAGGGUGCGGCGGAAACUGGAAUGCUCGAGUAUGGGAGAGGUAAGCGGAAUUCCUGGUGUAGCGGUGAAAUGCGUAGAUAUCAGGAGGAACACCUGUGGUGUAGACAGCUUACUGGACCAUUACUGACACUGAGACACGAAAGCGUGGGUAGCAAACAGG
Molecule: ribosomal RNA, 253 nt
Filed under: uncultured bacterium
Lineage: Bacteria
Description: partial 16S ribosomal RNA
Rfam family: Bacterial small subunit ribosomal RNA
Source: RNAcentral